UUUUGCACCAUCUACUUUCUCCCAAAGCCAAAAAGUUACACAACAAAAGCCUCUCUCUCAAUUUCUCUAUUUCUCUAUUUCUCAUACUUUCAUAAUAAUCUCAUUCUCUCUCAUAUUUUCUCUUUCUCUCUCAUAGUCUCAUUCAUGUACACUACUAGCAAUUACUACACCUCUUACGCCCACCAUUUAAUGCAAUUGCACCAUCUCAAUACACUCAGCAAUAACUCAUCACUGCCACAUUUUUCCUCUCCAUCCUUUCCCUCUUUUCUCUUCCUUCAAUUCCUUUGUCCUCUCACCUUCUUCCUCUCCUUCUUCUCCCUUUAA
Non-coding RNA from Vicia faba (fava bean), 324 nucleotides. The record is from the annotation of a GenBank genome assembly. NCBI's taxonomy places the organism in Eukaryota, Viridiplantae, Streptophyta, Magnoliopsida, Fabales, Fabaceae.